RNAcentral lists this ribosomal RNA (1154 nucleotides) under Tenebrionoidea gen. 15 sp. NLG-2012. Its description in RNAcentral is "partial 16S ribosomal RNA". The record is from RNAcentral. Lineage: Eukaryota; Metazoa; Arthropoda; Insecta; Coleoptera.
GUCUUUAAAAUUAAAAAUUUUGGCGGUAUUUUAGUCUGUUCAGAGGAACUUGUUUUUUAAUCGAUAAUCCACGAUAAGAUGAAUUUUGGUUUUUAGCUUACAUAUCGCCGUAGAUUGAAUAUUUUAUUAUUAAAUGUUAUCAGGUCAAGGUGUAGUUUAUAUCAAAAUUAAAAUGAGUUACAAUAUGAAUUUGAAUGAAAUUGGAUUUGAAAGUAAGCUCUAAAAUAUGUACAUAUUGCCCGUCGCUUUCAUUAUAAAAUGGAAUAAGUCGUAACAAAGUAGGCUUAUUGGAAAAUGAGCCUAGAAUGCAAAUUAGAGCUUGAUAAGCAUUUUAUUUACAUUAAAAAGUUAGUUGUGAAAUUCAAUUUAAUUUGAAUUUAAAAAUUUAUUUUAAUUUUUUUUUUAUAUGUUUUAAUUAAAAAGUUAGUUUUUUUAGUAUUUAAAUGAAAAAAUUAAUUAUAGCUUAUAGUAUUGUGAAGGAAUGUCAAAAAAUAUGGAAAAGAAAAAUUUAAUUUUUGUACCUUGUGUAUCAGGGUUUAUUAAUUUAAUUUUCUCGAAUUUAUAAGAGCUAAUUUUACUGUGGAAUAAGUAUUUAAAAUAUCAAUUUAGUAAUGAAACGUUAUUCGUUUAUAAAUAUAUCUAGUUUUUUUAGAAAUAUAUUUAAUAUAGGUUUAAAUAAAAUUUUUAUUAAGGGAUUAUCUUUAUAACAAAUUUUUAAAAGUAAAUGAAUUAAUAAAAACUAUAGGAUUAGAAUUUUCUAUUUUAAUGAGGAUGUUAUAAUUAAUUAUUUUAAAUUUUCUAUAAAAAUUUAUAUUUUAAUUUUUAUUAUUUAGUAAUAAUGAUGGAAUUAGUAAAGUUAAUAUAAGGAAUUCGGCAAUUUAUUUUUCCACCUGUUUAAUAAAAACAUGGCCUUUUGAUUAUUAUUUAAGGUUAGGCCUGCCCAAUGAUUAAAUGGCCGCAGUAAUUUGACUGUGCAAAGGUAGCAUAAUCAUUAGUUUUUUAAUUGAAAGCUGGAAUGAAAGGUUUGAUGAGAAAAAUACUGUCUUUUGAAUUUUAUUUUUAAGUAAAAAAGCUUAAAUUUUAUAAAAAGACGAGAAGACCCUAUAGAGUUUUUUUAUUGGGGUGAUAUAAAAAUUUAAUUAACUUUUUAUUUU